Molecule: long non-coding RNA, 314 nt
Filed under: Elaeis guineensis (African oil palm)
Lineage: Eukaryota; Viridiplantae; Streptophyta; Magnoliopsida; Arecales; Arecaceae
Description: long non-coding RNA (EGUI_LNC043786)
Source: RNAcentral
AUGGCUGAAGAGUCCAAUUGGAUUGUGACUCUGGUGAGGAGUCCCAUUGGGACUGGGACUCAGCAGGAGAGCCUGCAGAGUCCCACUGGACUGAGACUCUACUAUUAAUAGAGAAUUAAUUAAUAAUUAAAUUAUAAAUUAACUUAAUUUGAUUGAAUAAAGAGAUUUAGAUCAAGUCUAAUUGAAUUAGAUUCAGUUUGACUUAGAUUGGAUUUGAUAUGAUCAAAGCUUGAUUGCAAGAGAAAUUUGAUCCUGAUUCGAUCAGGACUUGAAUUCAGCUAAUUUCUAAUUGGAUUAAGAAUUUAUUAAGAUGA